UUUAUGCCUCUCGAGCUCACGAAAAACAAGGAGAGCUACCAACGGAGACUUGGCGCAGUGGUGGCGGCGGCAAGUGAGGGAUCGAGGAAAUAACUGGAAGCAACGAGGGUUACAGAGACGGCAGGUGGAUCCGCGCACACUAUUCGAGGCCGUGCAAGAUGAAGCGGAGGGUCCUCGUCGCGCUCCUCGCCCUCGCCGUCGUUCUUCUCGUCUUCUCCGUCGUUCACAAGGAGGUAGGAUUGUUAUUGGACUCUAUGGAGAAGUGGCGCCAAAAACUGUUGGUAUGUUUAACUCCUAGUUUGUCAUAAUUCUUGGGCUUUUCACUUUAGACACAGCUGCCAUUCUUUUGAACUUCGGAAAAUUGUAUAUGGGACAUCGGUAUACUGUGGCUGAUAGUUUGCUUUAAGUGAUUGGUACAUGAACAUGUAUUUGUCUGCUCCCUAGAUGUUGUUUUGAGUCUUUUAGUAAGCUACAUAUGCAACCACUUAGCAUAUAUGCACCAGUUGGGUGGAAACAAGUGUACAGUACAAGAAUAGUGUGGAACUUUCAAGAGAUGCUGUGGGAAGGUUUUCAGAACUAUACCUUUCCAACUUUUUUAAUAUACGGAUUGGUUGAAAUUCCCAAAUUUUGGAUAUACCUUUUAAUGUUGAUUGUUACUGGAGGUGUUAUAAUUAUUUUUUUGAGUAUGGACUAUAAUGUUCUUAAUUACACACAAAAAGAGAACUUUGGAUAUGAACAUGUCCUCCAGUUAGGUAUUUUUACCAUAUCUUGUUCCCGAUAUGUCAGCUAACACAUUUCUUUUUUUCUCGUGGAUAGUGCAGAAAAUUUUAAAGCCCUCUGCACAGAGGUAUUUGCACUUGCAUCAGUAGCUAUUCCUGUGUUGUUAUUUGAUUUUGUUCAUCUUUUAUCAAACAUGUACAUUCUAACAAUUGUAUAGCACCUAUGAUUUGGUAGCAGGUAAAAAGGGCAACAGAAUUGGUGUAAGAAAUUAUCACUACAAGGGUACAAAAUUUCAUCGCGUAGUUUCCGGUUUUAUGAUACAAGGUGGCGAUAUCACUAACAGUAAUGGCAGGAGCAGUGAAUCUAUCAUGGUGGCACCUUUCCUGAUGAGAACUUCACCAUAAAGCAUUCACGUGCAGGCUUGGAUUUCCAUUUCAUAUGUUGUCCUAAGUUAUAUUUCUAAAUUCUAGUGACCUGGGGCUGGCAAUAAGUGAAAUUUAGGUUUUCCAUAUACAUGAUUGUAAUGUUCUUGAAGUUUCUAUUUAAUGCAAAAUUAACUGGACAAUACCCCUUGGAUUUUCCCUUACAAAAGCUAAUUGUUAAUAUGGGAAAGAAUCAAUGUAGACAACUUAUUGUUAGAAUACGUUCGGAAAAGAAGUUUGUUCUUGUACAAAACUUAUUGAUUCAUUUACACAGUUAACUACAGAGAUUAAUUCUCUAAUGGUACUGUUCGGCACAUGCAAGACAUCUUACUAGCUUGUUUUGCCCUUCCAGGAAUUGUUUCAAUGGUGAACAGGGGGCCUGAUACCAAUGGAUCCCCGUUCUUCAUCACCACAGUUAAGGCUAGCUGAUGGGGAGCAUGUUGCCUUUGGAAGGGUUAUUCAAGGUACGGAUACGUUCUUUGCAACUGAUGGAGGAGCAGGAACAUACAUACAAUGUGAAGCCGAGGAAGAAGGUUGUCAUCGUCGACACAGGAGAGAUACCAAAGCACCGAUGGGAUGAAGAAAUCAGCCGCUUUUGCUUCCUUGCCACCCCAUGCUGUUGCUGCAAGAGUAGUAGGAGUUAGUGGUUCUUGAGGGCUAAGGCUACACCACCACAUUGCUCGUGUAAACCUUGUUAAUGUGCCUUUGAAGUCAUCACUUACCCAAACGGGGUCUUAACCCUUUCGCUUCACUUGGUUGCCUAUAGAAAUUUGAGCUUCACAAAAACUUGAGCUUUCUCUGAUUGAUUGAACCAGAGAUUUACUGUUCUUAAUACAAAGCAGAUCGAUUGCACGUUUAUCACAA
Molecule: long non-coding RNA, 2006 nt
Organism: Musa acuminata AAA Group (dessert banana)
Lineage: Eukaryota; Viridiplantae; Streptophyta; Magnoliopsida; Zingiberales; Musaceae
Exons: 3
Source: RefSeq, a predicted model, not a curated record